Molecule: ribosomal RNA, 253 nt
Filed under: uncultured bacterium
Lineage: Bacteria
Description: partial 16S ribosomal RNA
Rfam family: Bacterial small subunit ribosomal RNA
Source: RNAcentral
UACGGGGGGGGCAAGCGUUGUUCGGAAUUACUGGGCGGAAAGGGUUUGUAGGUGGCUUGCUAAGUCAGACGUGAAAUCCCUCAGCUUAACUGGGGAACUGCGUCUGAGACUGGCGAGCUUGAGUGCAGGAGAGGAACGCGGAAUUCCAGGUGUAGCGGUGAAAUGCGUAGAUAUCUGGAGGAACACCGGUGGCGAAGGCGGCAUCCUGGACCAAGACUGACACUGAAAAGCAAAAGCCAGGGGAGCAAACGGG